UACGUAGGUGGCAAGCGUUGUCCGGAAUUAUUGGGCGUAAAGCGCGCGCAGGCGGCUUCUUAAGUCCAUCUUAAAAGUGCGGGGCUUAACCCCGUGAUGGGAUAGAAACUGAGAGGCUGGAGUAUCGGAGAGGAAAGUGGAAUUCCUAGUGUAGCGGUGAAAUGCGUAGAGAUUAGGAAGAACACCGGUGGCGAAGGCGACUUUCUGGACGACAACUGACGCUGAGGCGCGAAAGCGUGGGGAGCAAACAGG
Molecule: ribosomal RNA, 252 nt
Filed under: Dialister succinatiphilus YIT 11850
Lineage: Bacteria; Bacillati; Bacillota; Negativicutes; Veillonellales; Veillonellaceae
Description: partial 16S ribosomal RNA
Rfam family: Bacterial small subunit ribosomal RNA
Source: RNAcentral